CCACGUAGUGCAGCGAAAGGUUCCUUGCGAAAACGAAGCCCCGAAGGGACAGAAUAAUCUGCUGGGUCUCCUGUGAGGACAACGUUGAGGCAGCCUGCCCUACUGCAUCAUCACUGCCUUCGCUAUCUGAUGCAAGCACGGUCGCGACGCUCGCCUCGGUUAGAAACAC
RNAcentral lists this long non-coding RNA (169 nucleotides) under Dermacentor andersoni. RNAcentral's name for it is "uncharacterized LOC126545650". Lineage: Eukaryota; Metazoa; Arthropoda; Arachnida; Ixodida; Ixodidae. The record is from RNAcentral.